UCGGGUAUGGUGUAACGGCUAACAUUGCCGCCUCUCAUGUUAUACGAGUGCUCGCGGCAGCUCGGGGUUCGAUUCCCCGUACCCGAA
Molecule: transfer RNA, 87 nt
Filed under: Hypholoma sublateritium FD-334 SS-4
Lineage: Eukaryota; Fungi; Basidiomycota; Agaricomycetes; Agaricales; Strophariaceae
Description: tRNA-Glu
Rfam family: tRNA
About the family: Transfer RNA (tRNA) molecules are approximately 80 nucleotides in length. Their secondary structure includes four short double-helical elements and three loops (D, anti-codon, and T loops).
Source: RNAcentral